UGCCAGCCGCCGCGGUAAUACGGAGGGGGUUAGCGUUGUUCGGAAUUACUGGGCGUAAAGCGCGCGUAGGCGGACUGUUAAGUUAGAGGUGAAAUCCCGGGGCUCAACCCCGGAACUGCCUUUAAUACUGGCAGUCUAGAGUUCGAGAGAGGUGAGUGGAAUUCCGAGUGUAGAGGUGAAAUUCGUAGAUAUUCGGAAGAACACCAGUGGCGAAGGCGACUCACUGGCACAUCUCUGACGCUGAGGCGCGAAAGCGUGGGGAGCAAACAGGAUUAGAUA
Molecule: ribosomal RNA, 279 nt
Filed under: uncultured bacterium
Lineage: Bacteria
Description: partial 16S ribosomal RNA
Rfam family: Bacterial small subunit ribosomal RNA
Source: RNAcentral